Molecule: long non-coding RNA, 202 nt
Organism: Etheostoma cragini (Arkansas darter)
Lineage: Eukaryota; Metazoa; Chordata; Actinopteri; Perciformes; Percidae
Exons: 3
Source: RefSeq, a predicted model, not a curated record
AGAGAAGAAAGUGUGUGGAGACCCAGAGAUCAGUGUGGAGGCCCUGAAACGACUCACACGCUAUGAGGACCUGGAACAAAGUGACGUUAGAGUGCACUACUUAUGGAAAGCACUGACGAACUUCACCAAUGAGGAUCGCAGCAGGUUUCUGAGGUUUGUGACUGGUAGAAGUCGUCUACCUGCGCCUAUCUACGUCUUUCCU